AUGAAAAUCCUGUCCUCUCUCCCGCAACCUCCCUCCCUCCCCACGUUCCCCUCAACCCCCCACCUCGCCCACCCCGCAUCGCCUCCUACCUCGCGCACUGGGGCCGCCGUCGACGCCCCACCCCGCGCCGCCUCCUACCUCGCCUACCCCGCGCGCUGCCGCCGCCGCCUACUACCUCGCCCACCCCGCGCGCCACCGCCGCCCUACCCUGCUCCGCCACCACGGGAUCCCGGCCGGUCGGCCUCCCCCGAGCACCCCCCGCCCCCAUGCGCGCCGGCCGCCACCCGACGCAAAUCAGUCACCACCCCAGCGCUCCCUUCCCCGCGCUAUCCCUCGAUGCCGGCCGGCCGAGCGCCUUCGACAGGAUGCGUCGCCACGAUCCAGUCACUGGGGGUCGCUCUCCCUGACUCACAGCUGAAGGAGACCGGCAGCUUCCUCGAUGGAGCACUGCAGAAGGCCAUCGAGCCUACGACCACAACCAGGACGAGCCCCUCAAUUUGCUAG
This 504-nucleotide ribosomal RNA is filed under the name Triticum aestivum (bread wheat). RNAcentral describes it as "partial small subunit ribosomal RNA". Lineage: Eukaryota; Viridiplantae; Streptophyta; Magnoliopsida; Poales; Poaceae. The record is from RNAcentral.